CAGCAUGAUGCACACCCCGAGCUUCUCUGAGGUUAUCAGUGAUGAUGAAACCCCCAUUGCUUGUGCCAAAUGACACUGUAUACUGCUGCAGUUCAGCCCUUCUUUUCUCACCAUGGCUAAGCUAUGUCAAAUCAACACAUCU
This is a small nucleolar RNA of Alnus glutinosa, 142 nucleotides long. RefSeq annotates it as small nucleolar RNA snoR134. The transcript has a single exon. Lineage: Eukaryota; Viridiplantae; Streptophyta; Magnoliopsida; Fagales; Betulaceae. The record is from RefSeq and is a predicted model, not a curated record.